AGGACUACACAUUCCCACAGUUGUUUGACCAUACUCUAUAAAUAACCAAAGCCCCGAGGACUCAGAUAGGCAAUCCAUCUCAGUAAAUCACUUGUUGCUUUUAUUAUUCACUGAUUCCUGACUUGAGUGUCGGAGGAUUCUCGUCGAAGUAAAAAUCUUCAGUCUAGAUUUUAUUUUACAGGUCACUCCAAUACCACUGCUC
RNAcentral lists this long non-coding RNA (202 nucleotides) under Elaeis guineensis (African oil palm). RNAcentral describes it as "long non-coding RNA (EGUI_LNC018155)". The record is from RNAcentral. Lineage: Eukaryota; Viridiplantae; Streptophyta; Magnoliopsida; Arecales; Arecaceae.